RNAcentral lists this ribosomal RNA (422 nucleotides) under uncultured bacterium. Its description in RNAcentral is "bacterial SSU rRNA". It matches the Rfam family "Bacterial small subunit ribosomal RNA", at positions 29 to 495 of the family's 1533-position model. The record is from RNAcentral.
AACGAACGCUGGCGGCAGGCCUAACACAUGCAAGUCGAACGCAUCGCAAGAUGAGUGGCAGACGGGUGAGUAACGCGUGGGAACCUUCCCAGUGGUACGGAAUAGCUCAGGGAAACUUGGGGUAAUACCGUAUAAGCCCGAAAGGGGAAAGAUUUAUCGCCAUUGGAUGGGCCCGCGUAGGAUUAGCUAGUUGGUGAGGUAAUGGCUCACCAAGGCGACGAUCCUUAGCUGGUCUGAGAGGAUGAUCAGCCACACUGGGACUGAGACACGGCCCAGACUCCUACGGGAGGCAGCAGUGGGGAAUAUUGGACAAUGGGCGGCAAGCCUGAUCCAGCCAUGCCGCGUGAGUGACGAAGGCCUUAGGGUUGUAAAGCUCUUUUGGUCGGGGACGGAUAAUGACGGUACCCGCAGAAUAAGCCCCG